Molecule: ribosomal RNA, 189 nt
Filed under: Klebsiella pneumoniae
Lineage: Bacteria; Pseudomonadati; Pseudomonadota; Gammaproteobacteria; Enterobacterales; Enterobacteriaceae
Description: partial 23S ribosomal RNA
Rfam family: Bacterial large subunit ribosomal RNA
Source: RNAcentral
GGGUUGUGAGGUUAAGCGACUAAGCGUACACGGUGGAUGCCCUGGCAGUCAGAGGCGAUGAAGGACGUGCUAAUCUGCGAAAAGCGUCGGUAAGGUGAUAUGAACCGUUACAGCCGGCGAUGUCCGAAUGGGGAAACCCAGUGCAAUUCGUUGCACUAUCGUUAACUGAAUACAUAGGUUAACGAGGCG